UACGUAGGGUGCAAGCGUUGUCCGGAUUUAUUGGGCGUAAAGAGCUCGUAGGCGGUUUGUCGCGUCGGAUGUGAAAACCCAGGGCUCAACCCUGGGCCUGCAUUCGAUACGGGCAGACUAGAGUAUGGCAGGGGAGACUGGAAUUCCUGGUGUAGCGGUGAAAUGCGCAGAUAUCAGGAGGAACACCGGUGGCGAAGGCGGGUCUCUGGGCCAAAACUGACGCUGAGGAGCGAAAGCGUGGGGAG
This 245-nucleotide ribosomal RNA is filed under the name uncultured Acidothermus sp. RNAcentral describes it as "partial 16S ribosomal RNA". It matches the Rfam family "Bacterial small subunit ribosomal RNA", at positions 524 to 768 of the family's 1533-position model. The record is from RNAcentral. Lineage: Bacteria; Bacillati; Actinomycetota; Actinomycetes; Acidothermales; Acidothermaceae.